UACGUAGGGGGCAAGCGUUGUCCGGAAUUAUUGGGCGUAAAGAGCGCGUAGGCGGUCCGAUAAGUCGGCUGUGAAAGUCCAGGGCUCAACCCUGGAAAGCCGGCCGAUACUGUCGGACUAGAGUCCGGAAGAGGCAAGUGGAAUUCCCGGUGUAGCGGUGAAAUGCGCAGAUAUCGAGAGGAACACCUGCGGCGAAGGCGGGUUGCUGGGCUGAUACUGACGCUGAGGCGCGAAAGCCAGGGGAGCGAACGGG
Molecule: ribosomal RNA, 253 nt
Filed under: uncultured bacterium
Lineage: Bacteria
Description: partial 16S ribosomal RNA
Rfam family: Bacterial small subunit ribosomal RNA
Source: RNAcentral